GAUGAACGCUGGCGGCGUGCCUAAUACAUGCAAGUCGAGCGAACAGACGAGGAGCUUGCUCCUCUGACGUUAGCGGCGGACGGGUGAGUAACACGUGGAUCACCUACCUAUAAGACUGGGAUAACUUCGGGAAACCGGAGCUACUACCGGAUAAUAUAUUGAACCGCAUGGUUCAAUAGUGAAAGACGGUUUUGCUGUCACUUAUAGAUGGAUCCGCGCCGCAUUAGCUAGUUGGUAAGGUAACGGCUUACCAAGGCAACGAUGCGUAGCCGACCUGAGAGGGUGAUCGGCCACACUGGAACUGAGACACGGUCCAGACUCCUACGGGAGGCAGCAGUAGGGAAUAUUCCGCAAUGGGCGAAAGCCUGACGGAGCAACGCCGCGUGAGUGAUGAAGGUCUUCGGAUCGUAAAACUCUGUUAUUAGGGAAGAACAAAUGUGUAAGUAACUAUGCACGUCUUGACGGUACCUAAUCAGAAAGCCACGGCUAACUACGUG
Molecule: ribosomal RNA, 497 nt
Filed under: uncultured bacterium
Lineage: Bacteria
Description: partial 16S ribosomal RNA
Rfam family: Bacterial small subunit ribosomal RNA
Source: RNAcentral